Molecule: long non-coding RNA, 594 nt
Filed under: Salvia miltiorrhiza (redroot sage)
Lineage: Eukaryota; Viridiplantae; Streptophyta; Magnoliopsida; Lamiales; Lamiaceae
Description: long non-coding RNA (SMIL_LNC006060)
Source: RNAcentral
AAUUAAGGAAAUUUUGGUAAUCCGAGGAGGUUCGAUCGAGCAGGGGCCUUAUCAUGUCGGAAGAGGGGAUGGGAGGAACGCCGGGAGCAUGCACAAGGUCGUUCAUAUCUUUGAAGCUUUUGGUGGUGGUUCUAUGGAUAAAGGGGAAGUGAAUAAAAAAGGCGAGGAUGUAUGCUCCAGAGGUGAGGAAGUAAUAAGUAGGGAUAUGGAGUUGCGCGGCGAUGGGUAGGGACUCGCUGCAGAAGAAGUCGAUGAUGAAGGCGGAGACUCGGGGGGAGAUGGACUGCAGGGCGCGGCGGACGUCGGGGUUGCUGCGGCGGAGGACCUCGAAGUAGACGGCCUCUAUUGAGGGGAAGGUGUCGAGGUCGAGGGACACAGCGGGGAGGUGGUGGAAGGUGAUGGAGGGGACGGUGGCGGAGAUGUGGCGGACGUAGUCCAUGGUGGAGCCGGUGUUGAAGGAGGGCGGCGCCACCAGGACGGUGACGGAGAGGGAGGGGUGGUGGUGGAGGAUGAAUUUGCCGAGCUCCACCAUGGACACCAGGUGGCCCAUUCCUGGAGAUGGGUAGAGGACUAUAGUUGGACUUGUCAUCUUCA